AGAGUUUGAUUAUGGCUCAGGAUGAACGCUAGCUACAGGCUUAACACAUGCAAGUCGAGGGGCAGCAUUGGAGUAGCAAUACUCAGAUGGCGACCGGCGCACGGGUGAGUAACACGUAUCCAACCUGCCGCUUACUCGGGGAUAGCCUUUCGAAAGAAAGAUUAAUACCCGAUGGUAUAAAGAGUUCGCAUGUUCUCUUUAUUAAAGAAUUUCGGUAAGCGAUGGGGAUGCGUUCCAUUAGAUAGUUGGCGGGGUAACGGCCCACCAAGUCUACGAUGGAUAGGGGUUCUGAGAGGAAGGUCCCCCACAUUGGAACUGAGACACGGUCCAAACUCCUACGGGAGGCAGCAGUGAGGAAUAUUGGUCAAUGGACGCGAGUCUGAACCAGCCAAAAGUAGCGUGAAGGAUGACUGCCCUAUGGGUUGUAAACUUCUUUUAUAAGGGAAUAAAGUGAGGGACGUGUCCCUUUUUGUAUGUACCUUAUGAAUAAGGAUCGGCUAACUCCGUGCCAGCCGCGGC
RNAcentral lists this ribosomal RNA (519 nucleotides) under uncultured bacterium. Its description in RNAcentral is "bacterial SSU rRNA". It matches the Rfam family "Bacterial small subunit ribosomal RNA", at positions 8 to 518 of the family's 1533-position model. The record is from RNAcentral.